This 497-nucleotide ribosomal RNA is filed under the name uncultured bacterium. RNAcentral describes it as "partial 16S ribosomal RNA". It matches the Rfam family "Bacterial small subunit ribosomal RNA", at positions 28 to 507 of the family's 1533-position model. The record is from RNAcentral.
GAUGAACGCUGGCGGCGUGCUUAACACAUGCAAGUCGAACGAAAAGACGAGGAUCUUGCUGGUCUCACGUUAGGGGCGGGCGGGUGAGAAACACGUGGAUACCCCACCUAUAAGAAUGGGACAACUACGGGAAACCGGAUACAACACAGGACAAGAUAUUGAACCCGGGGGGUCUUUAGAGAAAGACGGCUUUGCGGGAACGAAUAGAGGGUUCCGAGCUGGUUGGGUUAGUUGGUAGGUUAACGGCUUUCCAUGGCGACGAUGCGUGGCCGACCUGAGAGGGUGAUCGGCCACACUGGAACUGAGACACGGUCCAGAGUCCUACGGGAGGCAGCAGUGGGGAAUCUUCGGCAAUGGGCGAAAGCCUGACACAGCAACGCCGCGUGUGUGAUGAAGGCCUUCGGAUCGUAAAGCACUUUUAUGGGGUAAGAACAGCUUUGUACGAAAAUCAAGACGUCUUGACGGUACCUGAUCAAAAAGCAACGGCUAACUACGUG